Arachis ipaensis is the source of this 368-nucleotide non-coding RNA. The record is from RefSeq and is a predicted model, not a curated record. Lineage: Eukaryota; Viridiplantae; Streptophyta; Magnoliopsida; Fabales; Fabaceae.
AAGCUUUUGAAGAUGCAUAUACUUACAAUCAUGUUCUUACAUACUUUUGGUUGUUGUGCUUGCAAGAAGGACAUACAAAAUUGGAGGUUGUGAUUUGAGCAGCACUGCUCCUCCUUGUACCAGGUGGAUUGAAAUGAUGGCUCCUGGAUUAGUAAUAUGUAAUUCAAGGAUGGUAGCUUGCUUAGAAUCUUCGUUAGCUUGGGUAAAAACUAGUGGUCUCUUUUGUAACUUCUUAUUGAUUCUAAAAUUUUUUCUCUUAUGUAAUAAUAUGUAAAGGAAGUAGAUAAUGUAAUAGUUGUUGUAAUGAUUUUGAUUUUUGGUAUUUUGUUAGAGCAUGUCAUGUGAUCAAUCACACUAUAUUUGGUGAC